AUGAGUAAUUUCCCUCACAACUACUAAUGUGAGGGGUGAGUUUACUGAUUUAAAGUUAUGUUUCUUUCUCUUUUUAGGUAUCAUAAAGAAAUGAAGGCGAUUUUCAGGUUGUCUUACUCUUUGUAAAUUACAGUGAGGCUUUGAGGUGUUAUGGAUGUGUUGGAAAAGGCUGUUCAGGUAGACAAGAGAAAUGUGGCUCUCUUUUGCGAAAUCCUGUCUGUGCCAUCAUAGAUGCCCCAAGAUUUUCUAUGAAAGGAUGCAUGAGUGAGUACCUCUGUAGGGAGCAACAGCAGGCUCCCGCUACCACUGCUACCUGCUGCAGUACCGACUUCUGCAACCACUAAGAAGGACAUCACCCAUGGUCCCUUUAUGACCAUCACUAGCCGAGAUGUUAAAAUCCAUUAAUCAUUCAUAUUUCAUCUGUAUAAAAUAUAAUGUGUACAUUUCAGGCAUCUGCAUUAAUUGAUUUGUUUUGUUAAAUAAUGGGAAUUUUUAUUUCCAUUAAAUAAAAGAAUUAACUGCA
Long non-coding RNA from Ictalurus punctatus (channel catfish), 523 nucleotides. RefSeq lists it as uncharacterized. The transcript has 3 exons. NCBI's taxonomy places the organism in Eukaryota, Metazoa, Chordata, Actinopteri, Siluriformes, Ictaluridae. The record is from RefSeq and is a predicted model, not a curated record.